CAAAGAAUAGUUUAUUUAAAAUUAUAAUUUUGGAGAUUAUAGAUAAAGAGUUUCUUUUUCUUUGA
RNAcentral lists this transfer RNA (65 nucleotides) under Operophtera brumata (winter moth). Its description in RNAcentral is "tRNA-Pro". The record is from RNAcentral. Lineage: Eukaryota; Metazoa; Arthropoda; Insecta; Lepidoptera; Geometridae.